Molecule: long non-coding RNA, 866 nt
Organism: Octopus sinensis (East Asian common octopus)
Lineage: Eukaryota; Metazoa; Mollusca; Cephalopoda; Octopoda; Octopodidae
Exons: 3
Source: RefSeq, a predicted model, not a curated record
AAGAAUUAUAAAUAACAGUGGCUCAUUGCUAAAUCUUUCUUAACUUUGCCAAAUCUAUUUGACAUUAACCUCUGUUUCUGUUUCAGAAAAAAAUGUAUCAGUCUGUAGCAGUGAUUUGAAACUGAACCACUAGAUGACCAUUCAGACAUCAUGACCAAACUACAGUAGUUUAAGACACUCACAACAAGUUCAUUAAUUGACUGUAAACUAAUGCUCAACACAUCAUAAAUACUAUCCAUCUAUAAUGCCAGGCCUUGGAAUGGAAUCCCUUUCUCAAAUGUUAAAAAUAUUCCAACAGACUGCUCCCUUACAUGCUAUACACAUACACAAACACACACCAACAUUGUGAAACCUUUAUAUUGCUCUCUGGACCCUUUCCUUUGUCUCCUGUCUUCAGCUCUCACUAUGAUUUCCAACUCACCUUCCACAAACUGGCCCCCUCAAAGCCACUUUCAAUUAAAUAUGUAACCCUUACUUCCUUUCUCCAAAAAAUCUCUCCAUUCAUCUUACACUUAUGGAAUUCAUCUCUGCCACAGAUUCACCCAGGUUUUGAUUCAGUCAGCGUUUUCUACAAAUAUCUUACAUACAGUGAAACAUGGUACCAUGCCAGACUAACCGAAUUCCAUUGAUAUCUGGCUGUUACUCUCUCUCCCUGCUAUCACUAAAGACUUCUUACUCUUUAAUUUAGAAAGGUCAAUACAUAUGUUAUUCUUCAGACAUAGAAAGCUAUGGGCUCAGCCUUCAAUUCUUUAGAGUAUGAUUGAGAGAAUGUGUGUGUGUGUGUGUUUGUGUGUGUGUGUGUGUGUGUGUGUGUGUGUGUGUGUGUGUGUGUGUGUGUGUGUGUGUGUGUGUGUGUGUGUGUGUGU